GGCGAACGCUGGCGGCGUGCUUAACACAUGCAAGUCGAACGGAAAGGCCCUGCUUUUGUGGGGUGCUCGAGUGGCGAACGGGUGAGUAACACGUGAGUAACCUGCCCUUGACUUUGGGAUAACUUCAGGAAACUGGGGCUAAUACCGGAGAGGAGCUCCUGCUGCAUGGUGGGGGUUGGAAAGUGUCGGCGGUUUGGGAUGGACUCGCGGCUUAUCAGCUUGUGGGUGGGGUAGUGGCUUACCAAGGCUUUGACGGGUAGCCGGCCUGGGAGGGUGACCGGCCACAUUGGGACUGAGAUACGGCCCAGACUCCUACGUGAGGCAGCAGUGGGGAAUAUUGCACAAUGGGCGGAAGCCUGAUGCAGCAACGCCGCGUGCGGGAUGACGGCCUUCGGGUUGUAAACCGCUUUCGCCUGUGACGAAGCGUGAGUGACGGUAACGGGUAAAGAAGCACCGGCUAACUACGUG
RNAcentral lists this ribosomal RNA (468 nucleotides) under uncultured bacterium. RNAcentral describes it as "partial 16S ribosomal RNA". It matches the Rfam family "Bacterial small subunit ribosomal RNA", at positions 28 to 507 of the family's 1533-position model. The record is from RNAcentral.